This 260-nucleotide ribosomal RNA is filed under the name Escherichia coli. RNAcentral's name for it is "partial 16S ribosomal RNA". It matches the Rfam family "Bacterial small subunit ribosomal RNA", at positions 1 to 257 of the family's 1533-position model. The record is from RNAcentral. Lineage: Bacteria; Pseudomonadati; Pseudomonadota; Gammaproteobacteria; Enterobacterales; Enterobacteriaceae.
AAAUUGAAGAGUUUGAUCAUGGCUCAGAUUGAACGCUGGCGGCAGGCCUAACACAUGCAAGUCGAACGGUAACAGGAAACAGCUUGCUGUUUCGCUGACGAGUGGCGGACGGGUGAGUAAUGUCUGGGAAACUGCCUGAUGGAGGGGGAUAACUACUGGAAACGGUAGCUAAUACCGCAUAACGUCGCAAGACCAAAGAGGGGGACCUUAGGGCCUCUUGCCAUCGGAUGUGCCCAGAUGGGAUUAGCUAGUAGGUGGGG